RNAcentral lists this ribosomal RNA (1365 nucleotides) under Bacillus toyonensis. RNAcentral describes it as "23S ribosomal RNA". It matches the Rfam family "Bacterial large subunit ribosomal RNA", at positions 1550 to 2925 of the family's 2925-position model. Lineage: Bacteria; Bacillati; Bacillota; Bacilli; Caryophanales; Bacillaceae. RNAcentral also lists the same sequence under 1 other name. The record is from RNAcentral.
UGAAGGCUGAGCUGUGAUGGGGAAGCUCCUUAUGGAGCGAAGUCUUUGAUUCCCCGCUGCCAAGAAAAGCUUCUAGCGAGAUAAAAGGUGCCUGUACCGCAAACCGACACAGGUAGGCGAGGAGAGAAUCCUAAGGUGUGCGAGAGAACUCUGGUUAAGGAACUCGGCAAAAUGACCCCGUAACUUCGGGAGAAGGGGUGCUUUCUUAACGGAAAGCCGCAGUGAAUAGGCCCAAGCGACUGUUUAGCAAAAACACAGGUCUCUGCGAAGCCGUAAGGCGAAGUAUAGGGGCUGACACCUGCCCGGUGCUGGAAGGUUAAGGAGAGGGGUUAGCGUAAGCGAAGCUCUGAACUGAAGCCCCAGUAAACGGCGGCCGUAACUAUAACGGUCCUAAGGUAGCGAAAUUCCUUGUCGGGUAAGUUCCGACCCGCACGAAAGGUGUAACGAUUUGGGCACUGUCUCAACCAGAGACUCGGUGAAAUUAUAGUACCUGUGAAGAUGCAGGUUACCCGCGACAGGACGGAAAGACCCCGUGGAGCUUUACUGUAGCCUGAUAUUGAAUUUUGGUACAGUUUGUACAGGAUAGGCGGGAGCCAUUGAAACCGGAGCGCUAGCUUCGGUGGAGGCGCUGGUGGGAUACCGCCCUGACUGUAUUGAAAUUCUAACCUACGGGUCUUAUCGACCCGGGAGACAGUGUCAGGUGGGCAGUUUGACUGGGGCGGUCGCCUCCUAAAGUGUAACGGAGGCGCCCAAAGGUUCCCUCAGAAUGGUUGGAAAUCAUUCGUAGAGUGCAAAGGCAUAAGGGAGCUUGACUGCGAGACCUACAAGUCGAGCAGGGACGAAAGUCGGGCUUAGUGAUCCGGUGGUUCCGCAUGGAAGGGCCAUCGCUCAACGGAUAAAAGCUACCCCGGGGAUAACAGGCUUAUCUCCCCCAAGAGUCCACAUCGACGGGGAGGUUUGGCACCUCGAUGUCGGCUCAUCGCAUCCUGGGGCUGUAGUCGGUCCCAAGGGUUGGGCUGUUCGCCCAUUAAAGCGGUACGCGAGCUGGGUUCAGAACGUCGUGAGACAGUUCGGUCCCUAUCCGUCGUGGGCGUAGGAAAUUUGAGAGGAGCUGUCCUUAGUACGAGAGGACCGGGAUGGACGCACCGCUGGUGUACCAGUUGUUCUGCCAAGGGCAUAGCUGGGUAGCUAUGUGCGGAAGGGAUAAGUGCUGAAAGCAUCUAAACAUGAAGCCCCCCUCAAGAUGAGAUUUCCCAUAGCGUAAGCUAGUAAGAUCCCUGAAAGAUGAUCAGGUUGAUAGGUUCGAGGUGGAAGCAUGGUGACAUGUGGAGCUGACGAAUACUAAUAGAUCGAGGACUUAACCAU